GUUAGAUAAUCUAGUAAGUGCUAAUGGGUGACAUUCGUCAGUCACUGCUGCCUCGGGAUGUGCUGAGCGCAGCCAAGGAGCUGCUGUACCAUCUGGACAUCUACAUCUGUAACAUGGUGCAGUCUGGGAGACAGCCACCUCAGGUUGACUCCAAGACCCUGGAGCUGAUAGAGGAGUUUAUUCUGCAUGCACCCAAGGACAGAAACACACCUGGCAGGAGGAUGAGUGCUCUCCAGGAGCUGCAGCUGUUGGAGAUCAUGUGCAGCUGUUUCCAGGAGCAGAGUCGUGACACUGUCCGUCAGCUGAUGUUCUCCGCCCUCUUCAGUCUCCAAGGCAACCAAGCAGAUGAAAGCCGCAUGGCUCUGUUAGGCAAGUUGGUCUCUAUGGCAGUCGCUGUGGGCCGGAUUCCUAUCUUGGAAUGCACUGCCACCUGGCUACAGAGAACGCACCGAGUCUUCUGUGUGCGUCUGGCACAGGUGCUGGUCGAUGACUACUGCAGUAUGGUGCCAGGCUCAGUCCCCACCCUUCAGAAUAUCCACAGCACCAGUCCACGCUUCUGCUGCCAAUUCAUCACUGCUGUCACCACUCUCUAUGACCUCACGUCAGAGGAGCUCACCCCUCCAAUAGAACUCCUCCAGAUGAUUGCGUCGUGGAUCCAAGAUGACCCUCGUCUGGUCCUCAUCACCUUCCUAAACUCCCCCCUCUCUGGCAGUCAGCCAAUCAGCUCACUCGAUGUCACACCUUUAGGAGGGUUGGUGCGUUGGUGUGUUAAAGCACCACUGGCUUUCAGGAGAGACAAGAAGGUGGCGCUGAGCAGUGGCAGCACUGAAAAUCACCAAGACGCUGGUCUUCUUUUCUCUGCACUUCAUUUAAGUGUUUUACAGGUCUUCAUGUUGUUGCCAAAUAUACUCAAUGAGAAGGGGCUUUUCGGCCGCCUGGCGUUGCUCCAGCUGGAGUCCUUGGCUGCGCUGACCUCCGACCUUUCCAGAUUGUUGGACCAGGCUGACAAACAUACGCAUACCUCAUCUGAAGACAUGCACACAUUGUCUCAGCUGACCCUGGACCGGCUGGCACAGGCCCUCCAGGUCGCCAUGGCCAAUAGAGCGCUACUCUGCUCAAGAGAGGAUCUGAGAGCCAUUUGUUCCCGCCUCCCCCAUAACAAUUUGCUCCAGUUGGUGCUGUCAGGUCCGGUGAUGUACUACAACAACAUCCACACUCCUCCGCUGGCCUUCAGCCCACAUGCAGCUCAUUCCCCCAUCGCCGCACACCCCGCGCACCCUGCACACACCCCGCUCGCCACACACGCUGCCCCACACCCUCAGUAUCCCGGUCAGCCUUUCAUGACAGGGAUGCCCUUUCCCUUCCGACCAAGCCACUAAAUGAAACAGGGCCUGGCUUUGUUUGCAGACGUGUAGAUGCUGUACUUCAUUCAACCACUUGUGGUCGCUGUUGUCAAUGUCUGUGAACAGGCCCUCGUCAUUUCAGGCCUUCAUUUGAAUUUUCUAGCACUAAAUGACACAAAAACACAGCUGUGGUGUAGAAUUAAACCCAUCCAUGGCUUGCGGUGUUGCACCUGUAACUUCCUCCUACAACACCAGAACAAAUGUAGCUGCCCUGACCGUGUCACAACAACAUAUGAAGAACUUUACUGCAUUUCAUGUGUCACACAUUACAUUGUUUGUCACCAGUGCACUGUGGCUACUGUUGAAGGCUGAUUGUGUAUAAGAUGCUGUCUGUGGGCUUUCUGCUGCAGAGCCAAUGGGUGCGACAGUGAUAAGGCUUAUCUUUUCUGCUAAAGUGAUGCUUUAACUGUUACACACAGGGAAGGUGACAACUGAUAACAUGUGAGUGAUAUGAAGAUGGGAUCCAAAGGAAAGUAAAAGCUUUGUUGCCGUUAAACCAUACAGGUGGUGAAUCUGUACUAGAUUCAGUUUAUUACCAUUACACCUUCUGAUAUACUUUAUUAUUUCACCCUAACCUUACCAGUUGUGCAACUGCUCAUGCAUCUCUAUUACUCGCCACGCGCCUCUUCUCUGUUGGAUUUUCUUCGAAAUAUAAUAGGCUGAACCCACAAGGCGCCAAAAAAUACAGUUAUAGUGAUCCAGCCAAUAUUUCACUACAUUUCAAUUCAUUUCGAUUCCAAUUAUUAUUAUACUAAAUAUUUUCUCCGGCCAAUAAUAUCUACACCUUCCUGAGGCACGUAAUCAUCUUUAAAGCUUCUGCAGUUUCUUCUGCGUAUUUGGUUCGACCAUCUACAGUCUACGGGGCUUUGGAAAACUGAGAUGAAUUUAAAAAAAACGUGCUGCUUGGAGAUGGUUUUGUCUGUGUUUGCACAUUUAAGAGGAAAUCUGUGUGGUUCUCUGCUGGUGUGGGU
Molecule: RNA transcript, 2374 nt
Organism: Solea solea (common sole)
Lineage: Eukaryota; Metazoa; Chordata; Actinopteri; Pleuronectiformes; Soleidae
Gene: ints15
Gene name: integrator complex subunit 15
Exons: 10
Source: RefSeq, a predicted model, not a curated record